AGCGAACGCUGGCGGCGUGCCUAACACAUGCAAGUCGAACGUGAAAAGGGAAACCUGAGUAAAGUGGCGUACGGGUGAGUAACGCGUAGGUAAUCUACCCCAGAAUCUGGAAUAACCUGCCGAAAGGCGGGCUAAUACUGGAUAGAGCGAGGGAACUCGUAAGAGAGUUUUUCGGGAAAGGGAGCCCGCAAGGGCCUUCGUUCUGGGAUGAGCCUGCGUCUCAUUAGCUAGUUGGUAAGGUAACGGCUUACCAAGGCGAUGAUGAGUAGCUGGUCUGAGAGGAUGAUCAGCCACACUGGAACUGAAACACGGUCCAGACUCCUACGGGAGGCAGCAGUGGGGAAUCUUGCGCAAUGGACGAAAGCCUGACGCAGCCACGCCGCGUGAGUGAAGAAGGCCUUCGGGUUGUAAAGCUCUGUCGGAUGGGACGAACAUCUUCAUAGUGAAUAGCUAUGAGGACUGACGGUACCAGCAAAGGAAGCACCGGCUAACUCCGUG
RNAcentral lists this ribosomal RNA (498 nucleotides) under uncultured bacterium. Its description in RNAcentral is "partial 16S ribosomal RNA". It matches the Rfam family "Bacterial small subunit ribosomal RNA", at positions 29 to 507 of the family's 1533-position model. The record is from RNAcentral.